AGACCGGUCCAGACGACCGCUCCUGCUUGUUGAGACGAGAUUUCGUUGAAAGAGUGGGGGAGGAAAGUCCGAACACUGGCACUACAUAAGCAGCGAAUCCGCCUUCGGCGGAUUCGCUGCGGUAGUUGCAGGAAGGUAGCGGGUAACGCCCGUCCGCCGCGAGGCGCGAGGUGCGAGCAGAGACGCUUCAGGUCGAAAGGCCGAAGUAUCUGAUCUCACUUCCCUUUUUGGGAAUAGUUUUUCACGCGUGAGCGUGGAGGGCGAGAGAGCAGAUAAGCUUGCUGGGCGACCAGCGAGGUGAAACGGCUAAAUCCUUACCCCAGUGCAAGGCCGUGUCCGGCAUCAUUCCGAUGAUGCCGGAAGUGCCGCGCGAGGUGCUUGGUAACAAGCAUCCCAGAUAAAUGGUCGUCCACGACAGAAUUCGGCUUAUCGGAUCGGUCUACAA
RNAcentral lists this RNase P RNA (445 nucleotides) under Minisyncoccota bacterium. RNAcentral describes it as "RNase P RNA component class A". It matches the Rfam family "Bacterial RNase P class A". Rfam says of the family: Ribonuclease P (RNase P) is a ubiquitous endoribonuclease, found in archaea, bacteria and eukarya as well as chloroplasts and mitochondria. Its best characterised activity is the generation of mature 5'-ends of tRNAs by cleaving the 5'-leader elements of precursor-tRNAs. The record is from RNAcentral. Lineage: Bacteria; Bacillati; Minisyncoccota.